Molecule: ribosomal RNA, 587 nt
Filed under: uncultured bacterium
Lineage: Bacteria
Description: bacterial SSU rRNA
Rfam family: Bacterial small subunit ribosomal RNA
Source: RNAcentral
CCUACGGGAGGCAGCAGUAGGGAAUCUUCCGCAAUGGACGCAAGUCUGACGGAGCAACGCCGCGUGAGUGAAGAAGGAUUUCGGUUCGUAAAACUCUGUUGUUAGAGAAGAACAGCGCAUAGAGUAACUGUUAUGCGUGUGACGGUAUCUAACCAGAAAGCCACGGCUAACUACGUGCCAGCAGCCGCGGUAAUACGUAGGUGGCAAGCGUUGUCCGGAUUUAUUGGGCGUAAAGCGAGCGCAGGCGGUCAAUUAAGUCUGAUGUGAAAGCCCCCGGCUCAACCGGGGAGGGUCAUUGGAAACUGGUUGACUUGAGUGCAGAAGAGGAGAGUGGAAUUCCAUGUGUAGCGGUGAAAUGCGUAGAUAUAUGGAGGAACACCAGUGGCGAAGGCGACUCUCUGGUCUGUAACUGACGCUGAGGCUCGAAAGCGUGGGUAGCAAACAGGAUUAGAUACCCUGGUAGUCCACGCCGUAAACGAUGAGUGCUAAGUGUUGGAGGGUUUCCGCCCUUCAGUGCUGCAGUUAUCGCAUUAAGCACUCCGCCUGGGGAGUACGACCGCAAGGUUGAAACUCAAAGGAAUUGACGG